AUGAACGCUGGCGGCGUGCCUAAUACAUGCAAGUCGAGCGAACAGACGAGGAGCUUGCUCCUCUGACGUUAGCGGCGGACGGGUGAGUAACACGUGGAUAACCUACCUAUAAGACUGGGAUAACUUCGGGAAACCGGAGCUAAUACCGGAUAAUAUAUUGAACCGCAUGGUUCAAUAGUGAAAGACGGUUUUGCUGUCACUUAUGGAUGGAUCCGCGCCGCAUUAGCUAGUUGGUAAGGUAACGGCUUACCAAGGCAACGAUGCGUAGCCGACCUGAGAGGGUGAUCGGCCACACUGGAACUGAGACACGGUCCAGACUCCUACGGGAGGCAGCAGUAGGGAAUCUUCCGCAAUGGGCGAAAGCCUGACGGAGCAACGCCGCGUGAGUGAUGAAGGUCUUCGGAUCGUAAAACUCUGUUAUCAGGGAAGAACAAAUGUGUAAGUAACUAUGCACGUCUUGACGGUACCUAAUCAGAAAGCCACGGCUAACUACGUG
This 496-nucleotide ribosomal RNA is filed under the name uncultured bacterium. RNAcentral's name for it is "partial 16S ribosomal RNA". It matches the Rfam family "Bacterial small subunit ribosomal RNA", at positions 29 to 507 of the family's 1533-position model. The record is from RNAcentral.